Molecule: unclassified non-coding RNA, 250 nt
Filed under: Ramichloridium sp.
Lineage: Eukaryota; Fungi; Ascomycota; Dothideomycetes; Mycosphaerellales; Dissoconiaceae
Also listed under: 1 other name
Description: partial contains 5.8S ribosomal RNA, internal transcribed spacer 2, and large subunit ribosomal RNA
Rfam family: 5.8S ribosomal RNA (bases 1-52)
Source: RNAcentral
AACGCACAUUGCGCCCCCUGGUAUUCCGGGGGGCAUGCCUGUUCGAGCGUCAUUACAACCAAUCCAGCCCGGCUGGGUGUUGGGCGUCGCGGCCUGCCGCGCGCCUCAAAGUCCUCGGCGGAAGCCGCCCGUUCCUCUGCGUGAUGAAUCAUCGCCGCUUGGGAGUCGGGGGCGAGCGCCUGCACGCGUCGACGGAGACGUCGACUUCAAGGUUGACCUCGGAUCAGGUAGGGAUACCCGCUGAACUUAA